GACGAACGCUGGCGGCGUGCUUAACACAUGCAAGUCGAACGGAAAGGCCCUGCUUGCAGGGUACUCGAGUGGCGAACGGGUGAGUAACACGUGGGUGAUCUGCCCUGCACUUCGGGAUAAGCCUGGGAAACUGGGUCUAAUACCGGAUAGGAGCCAUUUUUAGUGUGAUGGUUGGAAAGUUUUUUCGGUGUAGGAUGAGCUCGCGGCCUAUCAGCUUGUUGGUGGGGUAAUGGCCUACCAAGGCGGCGGCGGGUAGCCGGCCGGAGAGGGUGGACGGCCAAAAUGGGACUGGGAUACGGCCCAGACUCCUACGGGAGGCAGCAGGGGGGAAUAUUGCACAAUGGGCGCAAGCCUGAUGCAGCGACGCCGCGUGGGGGAUGACGGGCUUCGGGUUGUAAACUCCUUUCGCUAGGGACGAAGCUUUUUGUGACGGUACCUAGAUAAGAAGCACCGGCUAACUACGUG
This 465-nucleotide ribosomal RNA is filed under the name uncultured bacterium. RNAcentral describes it as "partial 16S ribosomal RNA". It matches the Rfam family "Bacterial small subunit ribosomal RNA", at positions 28 to 507 of the family's 1533-position model. The record is from RNAcentral.